RNAcentral lists this antisense RNA (69 nucleotides) under Actinophytocola xanthii. RNAcentral describes it as "ASpks TB sRNA". It matches the Rfam family "ASpks TB sRNA". Lineage: Bacteria; Bacillati; Actinomycetota; Actinomycetes; Pseudonocardiales; Pseudonocardiaceae. The record is from Rfam by way of RNAcentral.
CUUGACCGUGCCGAGCAGCAGCGGGGUCUCCCGGCCCUGGCCGUAGGUGUCCAGCAGCGCCUGCGCCUC